This 3483-nucleotide long non-coding RNA is filed under the name Homo sapiens (human). RNAcentral describes it as "HSALNT0353434". Lineage: Eukaryota; Metazoa; Chordata; Mammalia; Primates; Hominidae. The record is from RNAcentral.
UUGACGAAUACACCCAAGGUCACUCACGAUGGAGAGGAAAAGUGCCUGUCUCUCUCCAGAGCACGCAACCCGUUCGCCGCGCCCCCACGGAGGGCGGCGAAGAGACGGCGCAUCAGGAAAGGGGCUGCGCGGGCGCGAGGACUGGCCGGUGGGCGUUCCGGCGCCGCGAACCGCGGAGCCUGCAACUUACAAGUAGGACGUUGAAGAAAGGACAAGCCCCCUUUGUCCUGGACGUAAGCCGCAAGUCGUCCUGAGUGGUGCACACCGCGAAGACUGAGGAAACUGGAUCACAGGGCUGGGCCGUGAGCCUUGAACCUCGGAGAACGUCGCAUUACUGCUCCAGCGCGCCGGUUCAGGGCCGCGGGACGCGAGCCCUUUAAAAGGAUGGAUUUGCUUCCUGUGACUCCCUGGAAGAGACGUCUUCACCACCGCACUGCGUAGAGGCCGGCGUCGUCGCCGGCUCACCCCGCUUGCUGCCUCCCCGCACAAAGCCCAGCCCAGGUAGCUCAGGUUAGCUGGAGCCCCGGAGCCUCACCUACAAGUACCUGGCCUGUCCUAGGUUGUGUGGGGACGGGAUGUGGCUUCUGCAAGCCCAGAAACCUGUUUCCACUCCCCCACCACAAAUGGAACUCACCCAGCUCUACUCGCAAGGUUAGGAGCCAAAAAUUCCCAUGAUCGCACGCGAAUUCAUUUGACUUCCGUUUCAGUUAAGAUGCCUUUUCAGCAUUUUGUUGCUUGUUUGCAGAAGGGAGAGAGGUAGGAUCAAGAAUAGUUUUUACUCCUGCAGAGUCGAGUGCGAGACUUGGAGGCUGAGUCCAGGCGCUCUCCCCUCCCCGCCAGUCCCGUGUCCUGGAGCAGGUCACUGACCUGGUUCCUCGAGUGCGACAGCGCAGCCUCAUCGUAAUAAACCGCCUCCCAAAGCGUUGUCAGAUCAAAUUCCAGAACAUGUUACUGGAAAGCACCUUGAACACUCUAAACUGCAGCACAGUUAUUAGUUAGCAAUACUCUUUGGGGUUUCACUGGCACCUUUUCUAACAAAUAAGAUUGAUAGAUGCCUGCUCAAACAAAUUGAAGUGCUUGUCUCAGAUGACACACUUGGCAGGCAUGGGACGUUCACAGGCCAACUAGAGAGCUAAUUUCAAAACUGAGAUAUAAAAGUGUAUCGCUGUACUUACAAGUUACCAAGUGUUGAGAAAUUACUCACUUUCAUUUGUGUGUUUAAUGUCUUUUUUGUUUUUUUAGACGGAGUCUCACUCUGUUCCCCAGGCUGCAGUGCAGUGGCAUGAUCUCGGCCCACUGCAACCUCCGCUUCCUGGGUUCAAGCAAUCCUCACAUUUCAGCCUCCCGAGUAGCUGGGAUUACAGGCGCGCACCACCAUGUCCAGCUAAUUUUUAAAAAUAUUUUUAGUAGAGACGGGGUUUCGCCAUGUUGGCCAGGCCGGUCUCAAACUCCUGGCCUCCAGCAAUCCGCUGGCCUCGGCCUCCUGAAGUGCUAGGAUUACAGGCGUGAGCCACCGCGCCUGGCCUGUUUAAUGUCUUGCAGUGGGGUCAUCUCCGAAACAAAGAGGGAUGGGAAGAAGGUAGGUGCCAAGAAGUCUGCUGGUUGGAAGAUUUCAUCUCAUUGGCGAGAUCCCUGGGUUUCUCCACCUCAGCAGUGUUGGCUUUUGGGAUGGGAUAAUCCUUUCAUGUGGGGUCUGUUCCAUGCUUUGUAGGAUGUUUGACAGCAUCCCUGGCCUCCACCCACUAGAUGCCAGUAGCACACACACUCCUCCAAAAUUCACGGAAAACGUCUUCAAAGUCAAAUAUGUGGCCCCACCUUCAUCUCCAUCCCCAACCCCUGAUUUAAAAUUUGCCACUGGUGAUGAUCUCAUUGGGAGCUAUUGAGAAUACACAGGACUGUGGUUUACACCUGUAAUCCCAACACUUUGGGAGGCUGAGGCUGGAGGAUGGCUUGAGCCCAGGAGUUUGAGACCAGCCUGGGCAACAUAGCAAGACCCCAACUCUAAAAUAAAUAAAAUUUUAAAAAAUUUUAAAAAGGCCAAGAACAGUGGCUCUCACCUGUAAUCCCAGCACUUUGGGAGGCCGAGGCAAGUGGAUCACUUGAGGUCAGGAGUUUGAGACCAGCCUGGCCAACACAGUGAAACCCCAUCUCUGCUAAAAAUACAAAAAUUAGCGAGGCGUGGUGGUGCACGCCUGUAAUCCCAGCUGCUCCAGAGACUGAGGCAGGAGAAUCGCUUGAACCCAGGAGGCAGGGUUUGCAGUGAGUCGAGACUGUGCCACUGCACUCCAGCCUGGGUGACGGAGUCAAACUCCAUCUCAAAAAAAAAUACACAGGAUUGUGGCUCAUGCCUGUAAUACCGGCACUUUGGGAGGCCAAGGUGGUAGGAUGGCUUGAGCCCAGGAGUUCAGGACCAGCCUGGGCAACAUAGCAAGACCCCAACUGUACAAUAAAUAAAUAAAAUUUUUUAAAAUGAAACAAAGGCCGGCCAGCUGCAAUGGCUCACGCCUGUAAUCCCAGCACUUUGGGAGGCCGAGGCAGGCAGAUCACUUGAGGUCAGGAGUUCUAGACCAGCCUGGCCAACGUGGUGAAACCCCAUUUCUACUAAAAAUAUAAAAAUUAGCCAGCCGUGGUGGCAGGCACCAGUAAUCCGAGCUAUUUAGGAGGCUGAGGCAGGAGAAUCGCUUGAACCCAGGAGGCAGGGGUUACAGUGAGCCGAGAUUGCACCACUGCACUCCAGCCUGGACAACAAGAGUGAGACUCCAUCUCAAAAAAAAAAAAUUAAAAAUAAAAGAAUGCACAGUCCAGUAAUGUCACCCAGCCCUAUAUCAGUAAAGGUCACACUCUAGAGUGGUACAUAUCUCAGCUGCAUCUAAGGCCUUGCUAAUUAGCUCAUUAGAAUGUCACAAAUGGGUUUUUAUAUUACCCAUGUAUAGCUGCCAAAAAUGUUUAAGUGAAUCUAAUCAAAGUUGGAAAAAAAAAUAAGAAAAAUCCAGGUUGGAAGACAUUCAGCAAAACAAUUUCCCUGCACUACACUCUAAAAAAAGUCAAGCUAGGGAAUUGGUCCAGACAGAUAACACAACUGGGUUGGUCCAUUAAGUGACCCCUGAUGCAGCACUGCAUUGAAGGCAAAAAAGCUGUGAGAGAGAUUUGAGGGACAACUGGGGAACUUUGUAGUUAUAUAUGGACUAUAUAUUAGACAGUAUUAUUGUAUCAUCAUUAGAUUUUUCAGUGUGACAGUGGCUAUUUACAAGAAUGCCCUAGUUCUUAGGAUGUUAGUGCUGAAUCAUUAGACAAGAGACCUGAUGGCUACAACUGACAUAUAAAUGCCUCAGAGACUGAUGUAUUUUAUAUGGAGGUAAAGCAAAUGUAACAAACUGUUAAUAGUUGGUGGAUCUAAGUGAUGAGUCUAGGUGUGUUAUUGUGCAGUUUUUUCAACUUUUCUGGAAAACGAACUUUUCAAAAUAAAAAAUUGGAAAAAUAGAA